RNAcentral lists this unclassified non-coding RNA (462 nucleotides) under Hevea brasiliensis (rubber tree). The record is from RNAcentral. Lineage: Eukaryota; Viridiplantae; Streptophyta; Magnoliopsida; Malpighiales; Euphorbiaceae.
GCCCGAAAUAAUCAAUUAAGCACGAGAUGCACACCAAAUGGGAACACCUGUUGCUACUCCAUGAUAAUUCUUGUCGCCAGCAGGCACUCCCCAGGUUGGCUGCGACGACGAUGAUGAGAAAGAAGAAGAAGAAGAAGAAGAAGAAGAAGAAGAAGAAGAAGAAGAAGAAUACGGAUAACCAGACAAAUUCUUUCUCACGGCAUGAGCCAUGUAAUCAACUGCUACCCCCUUCACUUUCACAGAAAUAUUAAUGAUACCGUUCUUUUCACCCCUCAAAUCCCUCAGCCUAUAACUCAAGAAAUGCAAAUAAUUUACAGGGGUAUAACCUCCCAAGAAGUCAGAAGCAGGAACCGUAGCUGUGCCAAUUACUCUAUUCGCUGAGCUAAUCCUGCAUUGCACUUCUAAGGUAAUAAACCCAGCAUGCAUUGGCAUCUCCAUUUCGAGUUUUUGAUUCCAGGAAGG